Molecule: ribosomal RNA, 434 nt
Filed under: uncultured Lachnospiraceae bacterium
Lineage: Bacteria; Bacillati; Bacillota; Clostridia; Lachnospirales; Lachnospiraceae
Description: partial 16S ribosomal RNA
Rfam family: Bacterial small subunit ribosomal RNA
Source: RNAcentral
ACGGAAGGCAGCAGUGGGGAAUAUUGCACAAUGGGGGAAACCCUGAUGCAGCGACGCCGCGUGAGUGAAGAAGUAUUUCGGUAUGUAAAGCUCUAUCAGCAGGAAAGAAAAUGACGGUACCUGACUAAGAAGCCCCGGCUAACUACGUGCCAGCAGCCGCGGUAAUACGUAGGGGGCAAGCGUUAUCCGGAUUUACUGGGUGUAAAGGGAGCGUAGACGGCUUUGCAAGUCUGAAGUGAAAGCCCGGGGCUCAACCCCGGAACUGCUUUGGAAACUGUAGAGCUAGAGUGUAGGAGAGGUAAGUGGAAUUCCUAGUGUAGCGGUGAAAUGCGUAGAUAUUAGGAGGAACACCAGUGGCGAAGGCGGCUUACUGGACUGUAACUGACGUUGAGGCUCGAAGGCGUGGGGAGCAAACAGGAUUAGAUACCCUGGUA